CCUACGGGAGGCAGCAGUGGGGAAUAUUGCACAAUGGGGGAAACCCUGAUGCAGCGACGCCGCGUGAGUGAAGAAGUAUUUCGGUAUGUAAAGCUCUAUCAGCAGGGAAGAAAAUGACGGUAACUGAUUAAGAAGCCCCGGCUAACUACGUGCCAGCAGCCGCGGUAAUACGUAGGGGGCAAGCGUUAUCCGGAUUUACUGGGCGUAAAGGGAGCGUAGACGGCAGCACAAGUCUGGAGUGAAAUGCUGGGGCUUAACCCUAGAACUGCUUUGGAAACUGUGCAGCUAGAGGACCGGAGAGGUAAGUGGAAUUCCUGGUGUAGCGGUGAAAUGCGUAGAGAUUAGGAGGAACACUAGUGGCGAAGGCGGCUUACUGGACUGUAACUGACGUUGAGGCUCGAAAGCGUGGGGAGCAAACAGGAUUAGAUACCCGAGUAGUC
RNAcentral lists this ribosomal RNA (440 nucleotides) under uncultured bacterium. RNAcentral's name for it is "partial 16S ribosomal RNA". It matches the Rfam family "Bacterial small subunit ribosomal RNA", at positions 338 to 795 of the family's 1533-position model. The record is from RNAcentral.